UUCUGAACAAAGUACGGGUCCUCGGAGAGGUCCGGCGACCCAGACUCGGGGUCUUCCUCAGCACCAUCGAUUUGCAGAGGCAAAGGUGGGCCCAGAGUUCUACAGGAAAAGCUCAUGUGGUCACAUUCCUAUUGAAGAGAAGCCUCCAAGCUUCAAGCAACAUCACAUACACAGGAUUCUGCUAGAGAUAGAAAAAAAGGAAACCACUACCACAGAUACUGUCAAAUAAAUGAACAGAAUUACACCCUAUGCCUCAAGCGCUUUUGCCCUUCAGAUAUAAUGAAAUCCAAUGAUCAAAAAUGAGUCGUGAAGGUUCAG
This is a long non-coding RNA of Orcinus orca (killer whale), 318 nucleotides long. RefSeq lists it as uncharacterized. The transcript is spliced from 3 exons. NCBI's taxonomy places the organism in Eukaryota, Metazoa, Chordata, Mammalia, Artiodactyla, Delphinidae. The record is from RefSeq and is a predicted model, not a curated record.